GACGAACGCUGGCGGCGUGCUUAACACAUGCAAGUCGAACGGUAAGGCCCUUCGGGGUACACGAGUGGCGAACGGGUGAGUAACACGUGGGUGAUCUGCCCUGCACUUCGGGAUAAGCCUGGGAAACUGGGUCGAAUACCGGAUAGGACCACUGCCUGCAUGGGUGGUGGUGGAAAGCUUUUGCGGUGUGGGAUGGCCCGCGGCCUAUCAGCUUGUUGGUGGGGUGAUGGCCUACCAAGGCGACGACGGGUAGCCGGCCUGAGAGGGUGACCGGCCACACUGGGACUGAGAUACGGCCCAGACUCCUACGGGAGGCAGCAGUGGGGAAUAUUGCACAAUGGGCGCAAGCCUGAUGCAGCGACGCCGCGUGAGGGAUGACGGCCUUCGGGUUGUAAACCUCUUUCAGCACCGACGAAGUGCAAGUGACGGUAGGUGCAGAAGAAGGACCGGCCAACUACGUGCCAGCCGCCGCAGUAA
This 477-nucleotide ribosomal RNA is filed under the name uncultured bacterium. Its description in RNAcentral is "partial 16S ribosomal RNA". It matches the Rfam family "Bacterial small subunit ribosomal RNA", at positions 28 to 523 of the family's 1533-position model. The record is from RNAcentral.